This 695-nucleotide long non-coding RNA is filed under the name Homo sapiens (human). Its description in RNAcentral is "HSALNT0356758". Lineage: Eukaryota; Metazoa; Chordata; Mammalia; Primates; Hominidae. The record is from RNAcentral.
CUUGGCAUAAUGUCACCAAGGAGUGUGUAAAUGGCAUUUGGAAGAAGAUAUUCAAGAGGUUUGUUCAUGACUUCAAAGUAUUUUGCAAAGGAUGAGGAGGGUGCAAAAAUCAAUAAGGCUGUGUGGUUGAGAUGGCAAACAAUUUUAUUAAGCUAGCUGUAAAUGAGGAUGAAAUUGAGGAGCUCACAAAUAAAGGUGGUUCCUGAUGAAUUGACUAAUGAGGAGUUGUUGGAACUGGAACAGGAAUACACAGCUGAAAAGAGAGGCCAAAGAGAAGAAAAGCACAUGAGAAGAUAAAGAAGAACCUCAUGAAAAUUCACAAUGACGAAUUUAGCAGAAGCUUUUGCAGACCUCAACAAAUUCCUUGAAAGUUUGAAAACAUGGAUCCCAACAUCAAAAUGUUUUCAUUAAUAGAGAACAUUCAUGGUGCAUUAUCUGCUUACAGGCGAAUGUAUGACAGAAAAAAAGAGAAGCCAAUCAAACAAACCACCAUGGACAUAUUUCCGGAAAGAGUGACUGUUCACAAAAAGAGCUUCAGGCGGGUCUCUUAGGAGAUCUUCCAGAAGAAGAAAGCACUGUUAUAACAGAUGGCAGCUCCACGCUGUGUGUUUGUGUCUUAAUUUUUAACAAAAUGUUUAAAAAAUAAAAUAUUUUAAAAAUGGCAAAAAGCUUAUGGAAUGACAAUAUAAAGAAAA